RNAcentral lists this microRNA precursor (124 nucleotides) under Hordeum vulgare. RNAcentral's name for it is "microRNA MIR1122". It matches the Rfam family "MIR1120/MIR1122 microRNA precursor family". Lineage: Eukaryota; Viridiplantae; Streptophyta; Magnoliopsida; Poales; Poaceae. The record is from RNAcentral.
UUGCUACUCCCUCCGUCUGGAAAUAUUUGUCCUAAAAAUGUAUAUAAUGGAUGUAUCUAUAAUUAAAAUAAGUCUAGAUACAUUCAUCUCUAGAACAAGUAUUUUCGGACGGAGGUAGUAGAAU